UGGGGAAUAUUGGACAAUGGGCGCAAGCCUGAUCCAGCCAUGCCGCGUGAGUGAUGAAGGCCCUAGGGUUGUAAAGCUCUUUCACCGGUGAAGAUAAUGACGGUAACCGGAGAAGAAGCCCCGGCUAACUUCGUGCCAGCAGCCGCGGUAAUACGAAGGGGGCUAGCGUUGUUCGGAUUUACUGGGCGUAAAGCGCACGUAGGCGGACUAUUAAGUCAGGGGUGAAAUCCCGGGGCUCAACCCCGGAACUGCCUCUGAUACUGGUAGUCUUGAGUUCGAGAGAGGUGAGUGGAAUUCCGAGUGUAGAGGUGAAAUUCGUAGAUAUUCGGAGGAACACCAGUGGCGAAGGCGGCUCACUGGCUCGAUACUGACGCUGAGGUGCGAAAGCGUGGGGAGCAAACAGG
RNAcentral lists this ribosomal RNA (404 nucleotides) under Actinomycetes bacterium. RNAcentral describes it as "Actinobacteria bacterium partial 16S ribosomal RNA". It matches the Rfam family "Bacterial small subunit ribosomal RNA", at positions 355 to 776 of the family's 1533-position model. Lineage: Bacteria; Bacillati; Actinomycetota; Actinomycetes. The record is from RNAcentral.